UAGUCAUGCCUCUUGUCUAUAGUUGGUUGAA
This 31-nucleotide non-coding RNA is filed under the name Rattus norvegicus (Norway rat). Lineage: Eukaryota; Metazoa; Chordata; Mammalia; Rodentia; Muridae. The record is from RNAcentral.